RNAcentral lists this ribosomal RNA (253 nucleotides) under uncultured bacterium. RNAcentral describes it as "partial 16S ribosomal RNA". It matches the Rfam family "Bacterial small subunit ribosomal RNA", at positions 524 to 776 of the family's 1533-position model. The record is from RNAcentral.
UACGGAGGGGGCUAGCGUUGUUCGGAAUUACUGGGCGUAAAGCGCACGUAGGCGGCUUUGUAAGUUAGAGGUGAAAGCCCAGGGCUUAACCCUGGAAUUGCCUUUAAGACUGCAUCGCUAGAAUCUUGGAGAGGUGAGUGUAAUUCCGAGUGUAGAGGUGAAAUUCGUAGAUAUUCGGAAGAACACCAGUGGCGAAGGCGACUCACUGGACACGUAUUGACGCUGAGGUGCGAAAGCGUGGGGAGCAAACAGG